Molecule: ribosomal RNA, 406 nt
Filed under: Pichia kudriavzevii
Lineage: Eukaryota; Fungi; Ascomycota; Pichiomycetes; Pichiales; Pichiaceae
Description: eukaryotic LSU rRNA
Rfam family: Eukaryotic large subunit ribosomal RNA
Source: RNAcentral
GGCCCUCAGUAGCGGCGAGUGAGCGGCAGAGCUCAGAUUUGAAUCGUGCUUUGCGGCACGUAGUUGUAGAUUGCAGGUUGGAGUCUGUGUGGAAGGCGGUGUCCAAGUCCCUUGGAACAGGGCGCCCAGGAGGGUGAGAGCCCCGUGGGAUGCCGGCGGAAGCAGUGAGGCCCUUCUGACGAGUCGAGUUGUUUGGGAAUGCAGCUCCAAGCGGGUGGUAAAUUCCAUCUAAGGCUAAAUACUGGCGAGAGACCGAUAGCGAACAAGUACUGUGAAGGAAAGAUGAAAAGCACUUUGAAAAGAGAGUGAAACAGCACGUGAAAUUGUUGAAAGGGAAGGGUAUUGCGCCCGACAUGGGGAUUGCGCACCGCUGCCUCUCGUGGGCGGCGCUCUGGGCUUUCCCUGG